RNAcentral lists this ribosomal RNA (305 nucleotides) under uncultured bacterium. RNAcentral describes it as "bacterial SSU rRNA". It matches the Rfam family "Bacterial small subunit ribosomal RNA", at positions 333 to 631 of the family's 1533-position model. The record is from RNAcentral.
CUAGGCCUACGGGACGCAGCAGUAGGGAAUUUUCGGCAAUGGGGGGAACCCUGACCGAGCAACGCCGCGUGAAGGAAGAAGGAAUUCGUUCUGUAAACUUCUGUUAUAAAGGAAGAAAGACGGAUGGAGGAAAUGACUUCCGAGUGACGGUACUUUAUGAGAAAGCCACGGCUAACUACGUGCCAGCAGCCGCGGUAAUACGUAGGUGGCAAGCGUUAUCCGGAAUUAUUGGGCGUAAAGAGGGAGCGGGCGGCAGCAAAGGUCUGUGGUGUACGACUGAAGCUUAACUUCAGUAAGCCAUAGAA